Molecule: long non-coding RNA, 322 nt
Organism: Oncorhynchus tshawytscha (Chinook salmon)
Lineage: Eukaryota; Metazoa; Chordata; Actinopteri; Salmoniformes; Salmonidae
Source: Ensembl
CCUUCCUGGUUAAAUAAAGGUUAAAUAAAAAAAAAAAAAAAAUACAACUGUCGUACCCCAUCAGAACCAAACAUAUGAGCUUGUUUUACUCCAUUGCUUGUAAAUAACGUGCAUGUUAUCAAACACUGUAUAGCCUCAAAACAUGGUUAAAUGAUACAUAUGCGGUGGAUCACAACGAAGACGUGGAACUUCCCAUGGAGCAACGUGUUAGCGCCGGGCUUCUUAUAGCGGAAGGUUACAUGCAACGUGUUAGCGCCGGGCUUCUUAUAGCGGAAGGUUACAUGCACCAUGGAGCAACGUGUUAGUGCCGGGCUUCUUAUAG